This 473-nucleotide ribosomal RNA is filed under the name uncultured bacterium. RNAcentral's name for it is "bacterial SSU rRNA". It matches the Rfam family "Bacterial small subunit ribosomal RNA", at positions 355 to 825 of the family's 1533-position model. The record is from RNAcentral.
UCGAGAAUCUUUCGCAAUGGGGGAAACCCUGACGAAGCGACGCCGCGUGGGUGAUGAAGGCCUUCGGGUCGUAAAGCCCUGUCGGGAGGGAAGAAACACUCCGGACCUAAUACGUCCGGGAAUUGACGGUACCUCCUAAGGAAGCACCGGCUAACUCCGUGCCAGCAGCCGCGGUAAUACGGAGGGUGCGAGCGUUAAUCGGAAUUACUGGGCGUAAAGCGCACGUAGGUGGCGACGUAAGUCGGGUGUGAAAGCCCCGGGCUCAACCUGGGAACCGCAUUCGAGACUGUGUUGCUGGAGUACGGAAGAGGAGGGCGGAAUUCCCGGUGUAGCGGUGAAAUGCGUAGAUAUCGGGAGGAACAUCAGUGGCGAAGGCGGCCCUCUGGUCCAGUACUGACACUCAAGUGCGAAAGCGUGGGGAGCAAACAGGAUUAGAUACCCACGUAGUCCCUGAGCGGGCUGGCAAGGCGCAU